AGAUACCCUCCUACCCUCUAUUCCUUGUUUCAUGAUUAAAGAACCAAUUUUCUGGCUCAAAAUCUAUUUCAAAAAAUUUUUCAAGAUGACGUUAUUUAUGUUUACUUUAUUCGUGGGAAUAUUGCUUCAUGCUGCUAAAGGAACUGCAAAUUCAAAAAUUUUGCAAGAUGAAGAUUAUGCAGGAGAAGAUGCAAGUGACUCUCACCACCACCAAAACGAACCGCAAUAUUAUGAAAAAUAUCUGCAGUUGAAAGCAAGAAACCUUAAUCAUUACAUAUCCAGUGACAAUAGUGCACGUGCAGACAGAAAGAUGUCACUACCAGACAAUGAUAAAAAUUAUAAAAGUUUUGGAAAUCAACCACAACGUCUUGAUUAUCAAUAUCAGCCCCGAAAUGAAAAGAAAAAUUGGGACUUGAAGCUGAAAAAACCAAUCGCUUAAUGUCUCUCAAAGUCAGGGAAAUAUUCUCGAUGAGUAUGAACAACAUGUUGAAGAACAAAGCCUAAUGAUGAAACAACUUUCAAAGCAAAAGACAAUAUUAUCAAUAAUUUUAAAAAACAAAAUUAAAAUCGAAAUUUUUGUUCUUUUUUCUGUAUUUUCGAAUAUUUAUUUUAUCUAUUAUUGAAAAUAGUAUUUCGAAUUCACGAAGACUAUCAAAUUAAUUUCGAAUUAAGUAAGCCUAUUUUUUAACAUGCAGACCUUGAAUAUAAUAAAUUAAAAUUAUACUGUUAGGAUUUUCAUUCAAAAUUACAAUAAAACAAUUGACAGCUGUCUGUUCAUCCAAUUUACCAUAAAGUUUAUGGUAAAGAACAUUUUUAUGAUUUUACGGUUUUAAAACCGUUUACCGUAUGGUAAAAAAACCACGAACAACAAUACAGUUCUUUUUCCCAAUUUUCAACAAUCUUGGUUUUAAACUUGUAAAAAAGAAAUUUAAUUAGACAUUGAAGUUAGGUUGUUGCUGAGUUGCGUUUUAUCAAAUUAAUCAUGGGAUUUAAUUAGUUUAUAUGUGUUUUUUUCACCUAUCGCAAGAGAUAGGAAACAUUAGACUAUUUUUUGUUAAGCUGCUGUAUGUAGCUGCCAUCUAUGCGUAAAUGCGAGUAUCAUAUUCUAAUUAUCGAGGGUUACUAAUCAGUGAUUGUAGAGCACUGGAAACUUUUCAUGUGCUGAAAAUAAAGAAGGAAAUAUUGUGGUGUCAACGCUUGGACUCACACUUCCUUUCAUUUGGGCUCGCCCUAUGAGGUGCAUUUACCAGGAUGAUGAUCAUUUUUGCUGCUCACAGAACCAAACGAAGAUAGUCUUUUCUCUCCAUUGCGAGUUCACGGUUUCCUUUCAAAAAAAAAUUAUUAACUUUUAUUAGUAGAUUCCAUCAAAUGAGAUAGUCAUGAGAUAGAUAGAUUUGCCUUCUCGGCUAUAAUAUGUACUUAUCUACAAAGAUCUAGGUGGUUUCAUUUGGUGGACCUGGUUUUUGCUAUAAAAUUCUGGUUGUUCAACCAAAUUAGGUGAAAGCAUUUAAUAAACGGUUUUUCUCACACUUAACAGUUUGAAUACUAUUUUAUUUGGGGUUAUUUGACUGUUUUGUUUGAAUAAAUAACAAUUAAAUAAAUUGCUAUUUAAUCCGUUUUUGAGAUAAAUUUCGGACUGUGUAGUAAUAAACGUGCUUAUGCCAAAAUUUUAAAAUGUAUAACAAUUUCUUAAAAAAUUUUUAAAACUUAAGUAAUUAAAAAAUUUAUAAUGCUCUUACAGUAAUUAUUGGCUCAUAAUACUGUAGCUAUUUUUUCAUAACGAAGUUUUUAAGUGUCAGAAUUUCAUUUAAGAGAGAACACUUUUUUUUAAAAAGAAAAUAAUAAUUUCUUACAUUGAUAUUGAAAAUGUAUCAUUAUUAUAAUAAAUUUUAUUUCGCGUGUUAAAAUGAAAGCGGCAGGCAGAUAUAUAAACGACAUCGAACUUAUAGGAGAGAUUAUGAACACUAAAAAUUUCUAUACGAAAUCAUCUUUAAGAAAUUUUAAGGAAACAAAAAACUUAAUUUCAUAUAUUUUGUUAAAAUACACAUCAGUGAUUAUUUUUUAGGACUAUAAAAUUAGAUUCACAGAAGCAAGAAUUAUAGAAAGCAUCUACUUUAAUCUUUCAAACUCUAAAUAGCAUAAACAAAAAAAAGUUUUUUUUUUCAAUCCUAAAUUUGAUAACUGAAUACUCUCCUAAUUUUGAUAAACUCCCCUAAUUUUGACAAACUACAAUUUUCAUCCAUGGUGAUCAUAUAUUUAACAGUUUGCAUAUCUCUUAUGUAGUGAUAGCUUCUUGAAUUUUCAUUCAAAAUGUACAAAAUUUUAACAGAUUAUAUGCUACUGCUGUUGAUUUUACUUCUUAUAUUUCUGCUUUUCUAGCUCAGUACUUUAGUAUCCACCAUUUUUAGGAAAACCAGGAAAGAUACUUAAGAAAAUGCAUAUGCACAAAAAAUUACUCAGCUAUUUAAAAUUUGAACCGCCUUUAAGGCAUCUAUUUAAUUCCACAACUGUGCUAGCUAUUACUUAUGUAAAUCAAAAUCAACUCCGGUGAGAUAAGAUAAAUGUUUAUACGAUUCCGAAGGUGCUAAUUAGCAACUACGAGCUGACGACAAAUCUAGUAAGUAAUGGCUAUGAAAACUUUAAGUAUUAAAUAUAUACAUAUUUACAACAAAUAGUUUACACUUUAGUAAGCUGCAAUUAACAAUCUAUUGCUACCACGUCUGGCUAUCUAGAGAAUUGAUGUUAAACUAACUAAUUAAAGCGUUUCUAACCAGAGGGCGCUAUUGUAAUAAUAGAAUCUAAGGAAAAUUCAAGUAAGACCGAACAGUUGUUAAAAUUUUAAUGAAAUAUAAUGAUAAUUUAAAAAUAUAACAUGACAUCAGAUUUGAUAUCUCUUUUAAGUUUUCAUCUACAAUGAUCUAAGUUUUAACA
Parasteatoda tepidariorum (common house spider) is the source of this 2931-nucleotide non-coding RNA. NCBI's taxonomy places the organism in Eukaryota, Metazoa, Arthropoda, Arachnida, Araneae, Theridiidae. The record is from RefSeq and is a predicted model, not a curated record.